UACGUAGGGUGCAAGCGUUGUCCGGAAUUAUUGGGCGUAAAGAGCUCGUAGGCGGUUUGUCGCGUCUGCUGUGAAAAUCCAGGGCUUAACCCUGGACCUGCAGUGGGUACGGGCAGACUGGAGUGCGGUAGGGGAGGAUCGGAAUUCCUGGUGUAGCGGUGAAAUGCGCAGAUAUCAGGAGGAACACCGGUGGCGAAGGCGGGAUCUCUGGGGCAUGUCCUGACGCUGAGGAGCGAAAGUGUGGGGAGCGAACAGG
This 256-nucleotide ribosomal RNA is filed under the name uncultured bacterium. Its description in RNAcentral is "partial 16S ribosomal RNA". It matches the Rfam family "Bacterial small subunit ribosomal RNA", at positions 524 to 776 of the family's 1533-position model. The record is from RNAcentral.